This 638-nucleotide long non-coding RNA is filed under the name Homo sapiens (human). Its description in RNAcentral is "HSALNT0372676". The record is from RNAcentral. Lineage: Eukaryota; Metazoa; Chordata; Mammalia; Primates; Hominidae.
CUGUGCUAAAUACUGGGAAAACAAAGUUGAGGAAGAUAAAUGCCUAUCCUAGAAUACUUCACAGUCUAAUUCAGGAAACAGAUAGGGCUUCCAGGAGCACUCUUCUACCUGUCAUUUGGAGUACAUGUGCAACAAUUUCCCUUCUAUCUGUUUAGAGACGCAACAGAAUGGAGGCUGGAAGACAACUUGUUGUGGAGGGAAUUCAUGCACUGGGUAAAAAUUGAUAGGCUUCUGCCAAGGUCUGACAUCACCGAGUUUCUGUGAUUCUAGUAGAAGCCAGAAGUAUGUUCUCUGUAAUUAGAGGGAAUUAGACAAACUAUCAGGAAAUGCCAUACAGAGCCUUCAGAAGAAAAGAAAUACAAAGGAAAAUCAGACUGACGAUUAUGUUCUGUAAAGCUGCUUCUCACAAUUGUGGCAGCCACUACAUAUACACAGUCUCCCAACCCAGGAGCACUAUAUGCCCAUAGCCACAGAGGAGAGAUUAUGAAUGAGCCAGAGCAAAUUCUUCCUCCUAGAGGGAAAAACAGGAAGUGUAUCUCUUCCUGCUCAUAUUCUCAUUCUACAGUUCUACUCGCAUCUACAUGAUUAAGCAUAUUGUUUAUGAAGAAGCCAAUGAAAAGAACCUGAAAAAAGAUACA